RNAcentral lists this long non-coding RNA (241 nucleotides) under Elaeis guineensis (African oil palm). RNAcentral's name for it is "long non-coding RNA (EGUI_LNC001961)". Lineage: Eukaryota; Viridiplantae; Streptophyta; Magnoliopsida; Arecales; Arecaceae. The record is from RNAcentral.
UCCAUGAUUUCAUCGUAAUGAAGGCUUAAGGUUGCUCCUUUCGGCCACCGCCUUCUCACCAGUCACUACCUUCUCGAUGUGCUCAAUAGCUCGCCUCCUUUCCAGACUCCUUGUCUCCUCCUCGCAUCGUCCUAACGUCCUCCUUAAGCCUUCGGCUCUUUCUAACCCUAAUCCAUGAUUUCAUCAUGAUGAAGACCUAAGGCUGCUCCUUUUCACCACUAUCUUCUCACAAGUCACCACC